RNAcentral lists this ribosomal RNA (496 nucleotides) under uncultured bacterium. RNAcentral describes it as "partial 16S ribosomal RNA". It matches the Rfam family "Bacterial small subunit ribosomal RNA", at positions 29 to 507 of the family's 1533-position model. The record is from RNAcentral.
AUGAACGCUGGCGGCGUGCCUAGUACAUGCAAGUCGAGCGAACGGACGAGAAGCUUGCUUCUCUGAUGUUAGCGGCGGACGGGUGAGUAACACGUGGAUAACCUACCUAUAAGACUGGGAUAACUUCGGGAAACCGGAGCUAAUACCGGAUAAUAUUUUGAACCGCAUGGUUCAAAAGUGAAAGACGGUCUUGCUGUCACUUAUAGAUGGAUCCGCGCUGCAUUAGCUAGUUGGUAAGGUAACGGCUUACCAAGGCAACGAUGCAUAUCCGACCUGAGAGGGUGAUCGGCCACACUGGAACUGAGACACGGUCCAGACUCCUACGGGAGGCAGCAGUAGGGAAUCUUCCGCAAUGGGCGAAAGCCUGACGGAGCAACGCCGCGUGAGUGAUGAAGGUCUUCGGAUCGUAAAACUCUGUUAUUAGGGAAGAACAUAUGUGUAAGUAACUGUGCACAUCUUGACGGUACCUAAUCAGAAAGCCACGGCUAACUACGUG